CCUUUCAGUACAGAAGAAUUGUGCAGGGACUCCCUCACAGUUCUUCCUGUAUAUCACCCUUGUCUUUUGCGCACUUAUGUUUCCUCGGCAGGCUUGCCUGCCGGUUGGACAAAAAUUAUAACCUUUUUAAUUUUCAAUCAGCGUCUGAAAUAAUUUAAUAAUUA
This 164-nucleotide unclassified non-coding RNA is filed under the name uncultured Setomelanomma. RNAcentral's name for it is "sequence contains ITS1". Lineage: Eukaryota; Fungi; Ascomycota; Dothideomycetes; Pleosporales; Phaeosphaeriaceae. The record is from RNAcentral.